UAGAUGAGGAUGAAGCAAAUACUAUUAAUCCACAUUUGAUCUGAGAUAAUCUAUUCGUUUAUCUUUCAAAUGUUAUGUGAGCUUCUGAAUCUAC
Molecule: small nucleolar RNA, 94 nt
Filed under: Cucumis melo (muskmelon)
Lineage: Eukaryota; Viridiplantae; Streptophyta; Magnoliopsida; Cucurbitales; Cucurbitaceae
Description: Small nucleolar RNA snoR31
Rfam family: Small nucleolar RNA snoR31
Source: Rfam by way of RNAcentral